RNAcentral lists this ribosomal RNA (929 nucleotides) under Deconica sp. RNAcentral describes it as "partial large subunit ribosomal RNA". Lineage: Eukaryota; Fungi; Basidiomycota; Agaricomycetes; Agaricales; Kuehneromycetaceae. The record is from RNAcentral.
CAAUAAGCGGAGGAAAAGAAACUAACAAGGAUUCCCCUAGUAACUGCGAGUGAAGCGGGAAAAGCUCAAAUUUAAAAUCUGGUGGUCUUUGGCCAUCCGAGUUGUAAUCUAGAGAAGUGCUAUCCGCGUUGGACCGUGUACAAGUCUCCUGGAAUGGAGCGUCAUAGAGGGUGAGAAUCCCGUCUUUGACACGGACUACCAGUGCUUUGUGAUACGCUCUCAAAGAGUCGAGUUGUUUGGGAAUGCAGCUCAAAAUGGGUGGUAAAUUCCAUCUAAAGCUAAAUAUUGGCGAGAGACCGAUAGCGAACAAGUACCGUGAGGGAAAGAUGAAAAGAACUUUGGAAAGAGAGUUAAACAGUACGUGAAAUUGCUGAAAGGGAAACGCUUGAAGUCAGUCGCGUYGUCUGGGAAUCAACCUUACUUUUGUGGGGUGUACUUUCCUGAUGACGGGUCAGCAUCAAUUUUGACCGUUGGAUAAAGUGUAAGGGAAUGUGGCAUCUUCGGGUGUGUUAUAGCCUUUGCUCGCAUACAACGGUUGGGAUUGAGGAACUCAGUACGCCGCAAGGCCGGGAUUCGUCCACGUUCGUACUUAGGAUGCUGGCAUAAUGGCUUUAAUCGACCCGUCUUGAAACACGGACCAAGGAGUCUAACAUGCCUGCGAGUGUUUGGGUGGAAAACCCGAGCGCGUAAUGAAAGUGAAAGUUGAGAUCCCUGUCGUGGGGAGCAUCGACGCCCGGACCAGACCUUUUGUGACGGAUCUGCGGUAGAGCAUGUAUGUUGGGACCCGAAAGAUGGUGAACUAUGCCUGAAUAGGGUGAAGCCAGAGGAAACUCUGGUGGAGGCUCGUAGCGAUUCUGACGUGCAAAUCGAUCGUCAAAUUUGGGUAUAGGGGCGAAAGACUAAUCGAACCAUCUAGUAGCUGGUUCCUG